This 1528-nucleotide ribosomal RNA is filed under the name uncultured bacterium. RNAcentral's name for it is "bacterial SSU rRNA". It matches the Rfam family "Bacterial small subunit ribosomal RNA". The record is from RNAcentral.
AGAGUUUGAUCCUGGCUCAGGACGAACGCUGGCGGCGUGCUUAACACAUGCAAGUCGAGCGGAGACAUGUAACGGAAGGCUUCGGCCGGAAGAUAUAUGUUUUAGCGGCGGACGGGUGAGUAACGCGUGAGCAACCUGUCCUUCACAGGGGGAUAAGAUACCGAAAGGUGUUCUAAUACCGCAUAAGACCACAACGUCACAUGGCGAAGGGGUCAAAGGAGCAAUCCGGUGAAGGGUGGGCUCGCGUCCGAUUAGAUAGUUGGUGAGGUAACGGCCCACCAAGUCGACGAUCGGUAGCCGACCUGAGAGGGUGAUCGGCCACAUUGGGACUGAGACACGGCCCAGACUCCUACGGGAGGCAGCAGUGGGGAAUAUUGGGCAAUGGGGGAAACCCUGACCCAGCAACGCCGCGUGGAGGAAGAAGGUCUUCGGAUCGUAAACUCCUGUCCUAAGAGACGAGCAGGAGACGGUAUCUUAGGAGGAAGCCCCGGCUAACUACGUGCCAGCAGCCGCGGUAAUACGUAGGGGGCAAGCGUUGUCCGGAAUGAUUGGGCGUAAAGGGCGCGUAGGCGGCCUUUCAAGUCUGAAGUGAAAUUCCCGUUUUUAAGAUGGGAACUGCUUUGGAAACUGUAAGGCUUGAGUGCAGGAGAGGUCAGUGGAAUUCCCAGUGUAGCGGUGAAAUGCGUAGAGAUUGGGAGGAACACCAGUGGCGAAGGCGACUGACUGGACUGUAACUGACGCUGAGGCGCGAAAGUGUGGGGAGCAAACAGGAUUAGAUACCCUGGUAGUCCACACUGUAAACGAUGAAUGCUAGGUGUAGGAGGUAUCGACCCCUUCUGUGCCGCAGUCAACACAAUAAGCAUUCCGCCUGGGGAGCACGGCCGCAAGGUUGAAACUCAAAGGAAUUGACGGGGGCCCGCACAAGCAGCGGAGCAUGUGGUUUAAUUCGACGCAACGCGAAGAACCUUACCUGAUCUUGACAUCGUAAGAACCUCACUGAAGGGUGAGGGUGCCUUCGGGAACUUACAGACAGGUGCUGCAUGGCUGUCGUCAGCUCGUGUCGUGAGAUGUUGGGUUAAGUCCCGCAACGAGCGCAACCCUUGUCCUUUGUUGCCAGCGGGUAAAGCCGGGAACUCAAAGGAGACUGCCAGUGACAAACUGGAGGAAGGCAGGGAUGACGUCAAGUCAUCAUGGCCCUUACGGUCAGGGCUACACACGUGCUACAAUGGGGCGUACAGAGGGAAACGAUACCGCGAGGUGGAGUGGAACCCAAAAAGCGUCCCUAAGUUCGGAUUGGAGUCUGCAACUCGACUCCAUGAAGUCGGAAUCGCUAGUAAUCGCAAAUCAGAAUGUUGCGGUGAAUACGUUCCCGGGCCUUGUACACACCGCCCGUCACACCAUGGGAGUGGAUUGCACCAGAAGUAGCUAGCUUAACUUUAUUGAGGGCGGUUACCACGGUGUGGUUUAUGACUGGGGUGAAGUCGUAACAAGGUAACCAUAGGGGAACCUGUGGUUGGAUCACCUCCUU